Lathyrus oleraceus (garden pea) is the source of this 2180-nucleotide long non-coding RNA. RefSeq lists it as uncharacterized. The record is from RefSeq and is a predicted model, not a curated record. Lineage: Eukaryota; Viridiplantae; Streptophyta; Magnoliopsida; Fabales; Fabaceae. The transcript has 3 exons.
UCUCGGCCUUUUGGCUAAGAUCAAGUGUAGUAUCUGUUCUUAUCAGUUUAAUAUCUGAUAUGUGGGCCAUUGGUCCACACGAUAUUAAAUUUAUUUCUUGAGGGGAAGAGUCCACCACAAUAGCUUGCUAUUGGGUCUCUUGUGUGUCGCUUUUGCGUUGCACUAUAGCAAUUGCUGGCGCACCCCACCAAUCCAAGUAUUAAUCUUUUCUUAUUCUUCCCUGAUUUUCAAUUAUUUUACAAUAGUAGGAUUCUAUUCAUUAUUUGUGGCAAGCGACUUAUUAUUUUCAUUCAAGUUCACCCUAUUUCAACUGUCUGUUCGAUGUGGGGACUAAUACCACUGUGGUAACUUACAAAUUUGCUUCUCAAUUUUUACAAAAUACUUCCAAGUUCUUAUCAAAGAAUCAUACUACAACGUAAGCAAAAUUUUUAAUAUCUUCAUAUAUAUAGCAAUCAAAUUUUAUAUUAACUGAAUCAUUUCGUUCAUCAACAACAACUUUUUACUUUUUCUUUUCAAACCACUAAUCAUAUACCUUUAAUUUUUUCUUAUGUCAAAUACUGUGUUUCACCUUUUCUUUUCACAUAAACUCUUUACUCUUACUUUUCAUUUCCAUUUUUUAUGUUCAAAUUCUACUUGUACAUUUUUUUUUGUUGUGUUGUUUUUGUUCAUGUCCCUAAUACAACAAUGCCAAUUGAUUAGCAUGAGAAUAAUAUGUUAUAUUUUUUUCUUCUGAGAUUUGUGGUGCUCGUGUUGUCACACUCAAUCGAAAUGAUAAUAACUUAUUUGUUGUUUCAUCCAUAUUAUUUGCACACAAAAAUUAUCUUCAGUGGCGUGCUCUCUGCUCUGUUUCAAUUGAGAAUAAUGAAAAUAUAUAUCUUCAAAUUUCGGUUACACACUUUAUUAUUUCUUUUGAUUUGGUGAAUUCUCUUGAUUUUGAUUAUGUAAUUGAAAUUAGUAGAUUGUGAGAGAAACUUAAGAAAUUCAAUAUUUCAUAUUUACUAUUAAGAUAUUUUUAUGAUAAUUAAGUGAUGAACAUAUGAUUGUAUAUACAUAUAUUUAUAUUUAUAUUUGAAUUUUCCGACAAGAAUGGAAGGAUCUAUAUUGAGUCCUGCAUUGGAAGCAUUGGAGCAUGUAAAGGUAUGAAGAAGGAAAAAUUCUCACAAAAUCUUUAUUCAUGGCUUCUUAAUUAUUCCCUAUAAAAAUACGUCUCUGAAUUGCAGAGAUCAGAGAUUCAACAUGAUUAUGACUCUUCAUAAUACAAAUUUUUACACAUCAUGAUUUAGAAAGAGAUUGAAACUAAAACAUAAAGGAUUCAAUUUAGCUGCACAAAUUCUAUACCGUGACUAUCAAGGUAUGAAAUAUCCGAGAUUUAAUUUAAUUAAUUAUUGCUAAUAAUUAUACUAUUAUCUUCUUACUAUUUCAUUUGCAACUGCAACUUGUUAGUAGCAUGAAUUACACAGUACGAUCAUAUUACAUAGUUUUUGUUAGGGGUGGACAUAAUGCAACCACCCGACGGUAUCCGACCGUUCUGAUCCAAAAUUUGAGACACCAUUCGGGUUUAGUCGGUUGGUGGGUUAGGUCGGAAAGUUGCAAGAGGUGUAUACGGGUUUGUGCGGUCGGAUUCGGAGAUUGGUUUUGGGCCCGUCGGAAAACCGAAUCCGACCGAACUCUGAUUUUGAUUACAUUCAACGUGUGGGGCCCUCUCUCCCUCCGUUUCAAUUUCAUUCUUCUCUUUCUCAUCUUCAUCUUCCUUCUCUCUGACAACUCUCCUCCUCCUCCGCUUCUCCUCCGAAUCUAAGGGUAUCUUUAUGCAAAGUUUAACAGGGGAAUUUUCACAAACAUGUAGAGCACAGGUUGGUAGGCGAAACAAAUUAUGGCACGAUAAUGCUCGUCUGAUAAAUUCCUAAAUCAACCGGCCGGCCCAACCAAAACCAAGACUCUCUCUCAGUCUCAAAUCUCAAUUCAUUAGUUCCACUUCUUCGUGAGAUUCAUACGCACAAACAGCAACGUUACUCCGCUAGGGUUCAUCAUUCUCUCAGUAACCUUGAGGUGGAAGUUGAAUCAUUCUCUUUCGGAGUAACAGCUUCAGGUUGGUUUCUAACUGAGUUUUGAUAUUUAUGCCUAUAAAUGAAUUUCAUUUACUGAGAAAGCUUGUUGGUUAAAUAUUCCAUGUGUAUUUC